Long non-coding RNA from Mobula hypostoma (lesser devil ray), 1596 nucleotides. RefSeq lists it as uncharacterized. The record is from RefSeq and is a predicted model, not a curated record. Lineage: Eukaryota; Metazoa; Chordata; Chondrichthyes; Myliobatiformes; Myliobatidae. The transcript is spliced from 3 exons.
AGACAGUCAAGAACAGCGUCAAGGACGGCUAUCCAGCUGUGCAUAGAACAGCUCUGGUUAUCAUAGAAAGGAGGGUGAUGACUGAAUCCAAUCAGUGUUGGAAGCUAUUGAGGAGUAUCAACACUAACGAUGGUGACAACGAUUAUACAGCUGGGAGAUGAGCUGCCUUACAGCUCCAGUCACCCAGAUGCUGCCUGACCAGCUGUGUGUUUCCGGCAAAUGGGUGUGUCAGUCACUACUGUUAAUGGAUCUGCUGAUCAAUUUGUAGGGAGUGCAUUAUGGAAUCAUAACAACUCCUGAUUCCUUGAUACUGUGUGUUAUCAUCGACGUCGAUGGGGACCUCGACAGCAUUUGAUGGUGUCGAGAGUAGCACGUGAUUUGGAUUUAAAUGAGGGAGAGUUGCGCAGUGUCAGCCUCACUCUCUCUUCCCAAUUCUCAUCUGGAUCCAGUGGCAAGACAGAGUCGAGACGGCUGGAGAUGGGACUAGGCGAGUGGAUGACCAGGACAUCUUCUGUGGCUUGUCCUGCUCUACACGUUCCACGACGCUUGCAGAGACCGCCUUCUUGACUGUUGGACCUUCCAUUGGUCUCGUCCGCUCAAUCCGCCAGAGUCUGUCUUCACAUACUGGGGUAGACAACUCCCUAUCUCACAGAGGGUUUGAGACCCGUCGGCUGCCCUCACCUGGUUUAGCUGGCUUGUCGAAGCCGUUGCCCGUGGUGUGGCCGCUGUCGCAUGCAAACAGCUACGGGGAGCCACAGGUGAGAGCUGAGUCCAGGUGGGGACCAAAGGUGGACUAACCGCCUUGAAAAGGACGCGACAUGUUCCCCCACCAGAGGUGCUACCCCUCCCUGACACCCCAUAUACCCCAUGUUGGAUGACAAGGUCCAGUUGGAUGGUAGAAUUCAUAAUUCAGCCAAAACCAAGUCCUGUGAACAUGCACAAUGAGGUCCCUAUGAGCACCUCCCACAUUCCAAAGGCAAACAGGUUAGUAGGUUAAUUGGUCACAUCAUGUAACUGGGUGGCGUGGUCUCACUGGGCCAGAAGGACCUGUUGCCAUGCUGUAUCUCUAAAUAUAAUAAAUACUAAUAACACAGCAAUAAAAUUGAACACUAAUAUUAGCAACCUAAUAAUCUUUAUAAACUUAGCAUCUCAGGAGGCAGCCAUUAGCCAGUUCACUUCACCAGGGCACCGGAUGCAGCAAGACUAUUGGAGCCUGACAAUAUCCCAGAUGGAGUCCUGAAAAUCAGAACUAUCUGGCUGAGUACUCUUCCAGUACAAAUCUGGCAUCUCUCCAGUAAGGUGGAAAAUUACCUAGUUACAUCCUGUCCUCAAUAAUGUGCAAAUCCAACCUAACAAGUUACCAUUCAAUCGUCAAUGCUAAAAAAAAAAGCUGGUUUGGGGGGCAUUUUUGGAGGUUUAGAAACUGCAGGAGAUAAGCAACUUUUGAACUUAGUUUCUGUGACAACUACUGAUCUGCUUCGGCCAGUUAUUGACUUCUGGGAUGUGCUUUGGUAAAUCGAGGAAGAGGAAAGAAAACAAUAAGUGUCUCAAACCUCAUUGCAUAUCAAGGAUCAAUUUUAUUCACCAUAAACUAUA